CCUACGGGUGGCAGCAGUCGAGAAUCUUUCACAAUGGGCGAAAGCCUGAUGCAGCGACGCCGCGUGUGGGAAUGAAGUCCUUCGGAUUGUAAACCCCUGUCAUGUGGGAGCAAGUUAAAAGGAUAGUACCACAAUCGGAAGAGACGGCUAACUCUGUGCCAGCAGCCGCGGUAAUACGGAGGGGGCGAGCGCUAAGAGGAAUUACUGGCCGUAAAGGGAGUGCAUGCGGCUGAGCAAGACAGAUGUGAAAUCCCCGGGCUUAACCUGGGAACCGCAUAUGUAACUGGUUGGCUAGUGUGCGGCAGAGGGAGGUGGAAUUCCAGGUGUAGCAGUGAAAUGCGUAGAUAUGUGGAAGAACACCGAUGGCGAAGGCAGCCUCCUGGAAAGAAACUGACGCUCA
RNAcentral lists this ribosomal RNA (400 nucleotides) under uncultured bacterium. RNAcentral describes it as "partial 16S ribosomal RNA". It matches the Rfam family "Bacterial small subunit ribosomal RNA", at positions 338 to 749 of the family's 1533-position model. The record is from RNAcentral.